CUGCUUUGAAGGAAUCCUAAGAUGCACAAUUUUUCAAAAUGCUGCAAGCUAGUAGAUGACAUGGAAGAAUAAACACAUGAUCAGAAACUAAAGAAAGCUGACGUGGAAGAAAAGAAGAAAAAGAUGAAAGCAAUUGGAUCAAUUCACAGAAACCAUAUCAGCUGAUGUUCAAAAUGGAGGAAGACUCUCAAAACAAGUUAUCCAAAGGCUGAGGAAUUACCUGGUUUGUUGAACUCACGUGUGAUAAGGAACAUGCUAUUUGCUAAUGCAAGAAACCUCCGGAUAUCCCGUAUAGGAUGCUGUCAGUAAAAGCUCCCUGGAAUGUGAUGUUCCAAAGGAUACAGAGUGGAGAAGCCGUGACUUACUAUAGGCACCCUGUCACUUCAAUUAAUACAGCAUGCCCACCUCGAGCAAAGGAUGCUCUCAAUCCAAGGAAAUAUUCCAAUGGAUCUCUCUUGCCAAUGUUUAUUGCUAAAAGUGUUAGUCACUCAGUCAUGUCCAGUUCUGUGACCCCAUGGACUGUAGCUCGCCAGGCUCCUCUGUCCCUGGAAUUCUCCAGGUAAGAAUACUGGAGUGGGUUGUUGUGCCCUUCUCCAGGGGAUCUUCCAGUCCCAGGGAUCGAACCCAGGUCUUCCACAUUGCAGGCAGAUUCUUUACCAUCUGAGCUACCAGGGAAGCCUUAU
Molecule: long non-coding RNA, 683 nt
Organism: Bos indicus x Bos taurus (hybrid cattle)
Lineage: Eukaryota; Metazoa; Chordata; Mammalia; Artiodactyla; Bovidae
Source: Ensembl